RNAcentral lists this long non-coding RNA (2911 nucleotides) under Oryctolagus cuniculus (rabbit). RNAcentral's name for it is "lncRNA (ENSOCUG00000037930.1)". Lineage: Eukaryota; Metazoa; Chordata; Mammalia; Lagomorpha; Leporidae. The record is from RNAcentral.
AUGUCUGGCUGGUGUCCCACGUCUGUGCUCAUCAUUCUGAGCGCAUGUCCCCUAUGCCCACUCCCAUUGCCUUGUGCUGAUCUCGUGCCCAGCACCCUGCAGGGCGCCCCUGCGCCCACACGGAUACCCAGGUCCCGGGCUUCUGCCCCGCCUUUCUGUGCCAACCCCCGCCUGCCGACCUCCGGAGCUGUGCCCGACCUCUGGGGGCCCACAUUGUUUCCCACUCCCCGUGCUUCCGGGCCAUGUCCUUUGUUUCGAUGCCCACCCCAUACCCAGCACCUUCGAGCUCAUUCCCCUGCGCCCGCGGCGCCCGCCACCGCACGGCCGCGCCCUCCCCGCUGGGACAGCAGCGCGGGCCGGGCAGUUGGCGGGCCGCACGCGCGCUCCAGCUCGUUGCGCUGCGCUCCGUGCAGGACAAGCGGGCCGCGCCAGUACACGCUGCCCUGGCACAGGCGCGUGGCGAACGGACCCUCGGGCGCCACCCACGGCAGCACCCCGCACUUCAGGUGCGGCCACAGGUGCCGUGGCAGGUGCGCACGGAACAGCGGCUGCCAAAGCGGACCUACGCAGCGCGUGGUGGCGGCCCCAGCGGACUCAGAAGGCAGCGCUCGGCGGAGCCGCAAGGGCAGCCAGCCAUCUGCGGGGCGAGGAAGGAGGGCGGCCACCUUGGCGAGGUUUCCCUUCCUCACCCCCUCCACCACGGGUCAGGCGACCCACAGGUCCUCCUCGCCCUCCCCAUCAGUGAUGGCAGUGACUCUUGUAGUAGCAAUAGUAGUAGUAGCAACAGCAGCAGCACUACAUAACAGCUUCCAACAUAAACCACCCGUGGUCCAGCGCGGUAACCACAAGCAGCCUCACCGGCCCUGGAGAGCACUCCCAAGGAUGCCUCCCAUACACGAAGCCCUCUGCCAAGUCUAUCAGCAUCUAGAAGCAACAGAUUAGAUCUGCAGAGAACAAGAACAGAUCCUCGGAGCGCCGUCACGACUGAAAGAAAAGUGAGUCCACAGAGCGAGGUCCAUCCUCAGCAUGAGGUGAUGUGCAUGAGGUAAGAGCACACGCACAGCCACACACACGCAGCCCAGAGGCGUUCGCUUGAGCACGCUAGGGCGGCUGUCUGGGCGGAGGGACUAGAUCAAUAAUGAAAAAGCGAGGGGCUGCUUUGGAGCGGGUGAUAAGCGAAGGUCUCUUGGAGGAGGGGUGCUGGCUGAAGCCUGGAUAAAAAUGAAGACCGCAGCCUGAUGAAGAGCGGGGUGGGCAGGGUGCUCCAGGUUAAAGGAAGAGCACGUGCCAAGGGCCUGAGGUGGGAAGGAGAUGGAGCGAUUCAAGAAGGCGGGUGUAGGGAGGCCGUUAGGAGAUGUAUUGCUACGGGGCCACGGGGGAUUUACCUGCCCACUCAGUCCUGUCCUCAGUCUCCACGUCUAGUGGGACACAGGGACGCCGAAAGAGAAAGCCAGAGUUGGUGUUAAGUGCUGGGGCGAGCCCUUCUGAGGUUGGAUUUUGCUGUCUGUGAGCACCGUCUACAGGUGUCUGUAAUACGUAACCUCCCGUAAGGUUGGCUGCAGUAUGCGAAGUGGUUGGCAUGGUCAUUGGCAUACGGCCAGUCCCUAUUUAUUGCAGCACUGUACUGAGGAUACUGUAGUUCAAGGUAGCACAGGCAAGGGCACAGGGUACCAACGGUGACAAGAGGGACCUUUGUUUUCUGCACUGCUGAGUUCCAAAGCAGCUAGAGAGGUGCCUUGUAGCCGAGAAGGGAGGGGAGCUUGUGGCUUUCCUGGUAGGAGCAGAAGCCCAGCCUUGGAGGUUGCAAGGUGCAUUGGUGGGAGGGGGAGGGGGCUGUCGAGCAGCCUGGUUGCCGGGGGGGCUGGGUGUGUGAGGCUGAGGGCGAGUGUGUGUCAGUUCUCAUUACCCACAGUGGCUGCGCCCCAUCGAGUCUCCACAAACGCGGAGCUGGUGAACACGGAGCCGUGGCGCCCAGGAGCAAGGCUCGGCUGAGGGCUUUCAAGCUCAGUCUCCGGUAGGGAAACAGUCCCACCGUCUUCAGUACAGAACCCUGCGACGCAUCGUGUUUUUAGUCCAGGGCGCUAUUUAUUUAAUGUGUCCACAUGAUUCAUUAACAGUGAACGCCUGGCUACCCUCACUGUGACCUACACCUAACUUCCCUAACGUGGAUUUUCUCGGUAAGCCACAUCGCAGCCUUCCUGGGAGUCUUUUUGAAUAGUAAAGUCACCAACAAGCAAAAGAAAACUAGUGAAAAUGUGACACUUAUUGGACUACAAAGGGGACACUUGUUUGCGGAAUGAGGGCAGAAAAAUGAAGGCAGAGGGUUGCCUUGAUUGACCUCACUCUGAAUGUUCCCAGUGGUGAAUGCGCCCCAUAGAGCUUAGUACGCAUUUAUGAAUGGGUGCAGCAAUGGCUCAGGGACUGAGCUGGGGGUUACAACUAAUGUUAGCGGGCAGCAGAAUUUGCGAAUGUAGAAGCCACGAGUAAUGGGGCUCAGCUGCCUGUGCAAGAAGAGACAGGCUGAAGACAGAGCAGGAGUGUCUCCGAGGCCACGCUUUGUCCCAUGUUAAGGGCCCCAGGAAUCAGGUGUGUGUGUGUGCCAAUGGCGGAUCCCGGGUGGGUCGGAGCGGCCCCCAGAACUUCCUUCCUCUGAAUGACAGCCUACAGCUGCUAAGGGACUGGCCACGUAGCCACCCAUUCAACACAUAUUGAGCACCUACUGUUGCCAGGUCCUGUGUUGGUGUCACCACCCUCCAGCAGCUCAUGUCUGCAGGAGACAGACUCGUACCCAGCACGGAGAAUGUACAGAGAAAGAUGUUCCAACGGGGGAAGCAGGAGUCAGGGACGGCUUGGGAGAAGCACCGAGUUGAAGCUUAAUAAAUGCUUUCGACCAAUGAAUGUGUGACGGACG